This 654-nucleotide long non-coding RNA is filed under the name Prunus persica (peach). RNAcentral describes it as "long non-coding RNA (PPER_LNC001432)". Lineage: Eukaryota; Viridiplantae; Streptophyta; Magnoliopsida; Rosales; Rosaceae. The record is from RNAcentral.
CUGGCCUUCUGAUAGUUUUGCAAGCCUUAAAGGAAAGGGAAAAAAAACGCACACACACCAAAGAAUUCACUUUUUGUUAGCCAUGAAGUAGAAACUCUAAAGGAAACAAAACAGAGGAAGCAGAACAAGAUUUUCACUUAAGAUUUUGUGAAUGAAAAGAGGUUAUGAAUCAUGAGAUUACUAAAAGUAUUAAGUUUUUACCUGUGACAGCAACGAUCCUCGUAACAGCGAAGCAGGCCAGAGCCAUCACGAUACAAAACGAGCUGCUUAUCAAACACAGUAAGGCCUAAAGGUGCAUCUUCUGGCAGGUCCUGGGUUAGAUACAGAGGGUACCAUUCUUCUGUCCAAUCAUAUUCAGCCACGACCCUUUCACCUCUGUGCUCUUCUUCACCGGAAGGACUCACUAGAACCCUGUGAUCUUGUUCCUCUUCUUUCAGAUCAUGAUCAAGUGGAGGAGGUGCAGCAGCCUUGUGUUUGAUAUCAUCAGUGACUGCAUUAAAACUAAUUUUGUGGCUCUUUUUAUUUGUGAAUAUUAAUGGAAAUGGUUUGAGAGGUGGGUUUGAUUUGGCUGUUGUUGAUGUUAAUGGUUUUGAAGCAGUGGAAGAAGAGGGAAAGGUGUGUGAGACUAAAGGGUGAACCAGAGCCAUGUUUCUG